This is a long non-coding RNA of Gadus morhua (Atlantic cod), 1112 nucleotides long. RefSeq lists it as uncharacterized. The transcript is spliced from 4 exons. The record is from RefSeq and is a predicted model, not a curated record. Lineage: Eukaryota; Metazoa; Chordata; Actinopteri; Gadiformes; Gadidae.
CCAACACGUGGCGCUUAGCCGCGAUAGCCAAUCAGCGUGGAGCUUGACCCGACGUCACUGGGAGACAGAACAGAAGCAGAAAGAAGCAAUGGAGGACGCACUUAUAGUGGCGGUGUGCAGUCAAUCUGUCCUGUACGACACCACGCUGGUGUCGGUACAGGGACGGAAUUAAAAAGGAGCAGGCGUGGGUCGUCGUGGGCCAGGAGACGGGGAUUCCUGUGGACGUAUGUCGCAGGAAAUGGAAGUCCCUCAGGGACAGGUACAUGAGGGAGAAAAGGAGGGAGAAAGAGGAGGGAAAAAGGAGCGGGUCAGCGGCAAGGACAGGGAAGAAAUGGAAGUUCUUUGCGGUCCUGUCCUUCCUCGACCCCUUUGUCACACCGAGGGAGACCAGCAGCAACCUUCCUUGGUGUGCAGAGAUGGAGGUAGAGAUAGAGGAUGACGGGGCUGCAGAGACUUCAGGGGUAGGAGAAGCAGACGAGGAGCGUGAUGAGGCAGCAGCAGCAGCAGGGCCAUCGCACAAUACAGAUCAGCUGUCAGGAAAUGAAUCGGACCCUGUCGAUGUUCCUGCUGCUGCUGCUACUGCUGCUACUCCUGCCCCUGUCCCUGCCGCUGGCCCUGGCCCUGGCCCUGCCCCAAGUCCACCGAGCGGGAGGAAGAGAGCAAGCGGGGUACCAUGUGGGAACACCCCGAUACAGGAGGCCAUCCUCCAGGCCCUGCAGAGGGAUGGAGAGUUGUGCGCAGACGCACAGUUUUUAAACGGCCUACUUCCUUCCCUGAAGAGAUUGCCACCAGACGCAAAGGAGUAUGUGAAAUUCCAAAUUCAGUCAUAUUUGACGCCACCCAAUUCACCCUUAAUUUGGAACCCGUCUAAUCAUGCUCCUGCUCAUUAGCAAGAGUGGUGGUGACAAUCUCUCCAGGGAAAGAACUGGGCUGCUGUGACAAAAAAGAAGCUGUUUGUGAGAAAGGUAGUUAGUUAGGUAAAUCCUUUCUCACAAACAGCUUCUUUUUUAGGAAGAUGUUAAUGUUCUUGUUCUUGUGUUCUGUUUUACAUUUAUAAUAUAUUGUUCUAUGUUGUUUUGUUAGUCGUUUUGUAAAUAAAAUAUUUUUAAUAA